Molecule: ribosomal RNA, 505 nt
Filed under: uncultured bacterium
Lineage: Bacteria
Description: partial 16S ribosomal RNA
Rfam family: Bacterial small subunit ribosomal RNA
Source: RNAcentral
GACGAACGCUGGCGGCGUGCCUAAUACAUGCAAGUAGAACGCACAGUUUAUACCGUAGCUUGCUACACCAUAGACUGUGAGUUGCGAACGGGUGAGUAACGCGUAGGUAACCUGCCUGGUAGCGGGGGAUAACUAUUGGAAACGAUAGCUAAUACCGCAUAAUAUUGAUUAUUGCAUGAUAAUUGAUUGAAAGAUGCUAUUGCAUCACUACCAGAUGGACCUGCGUUGUAUUAGCUAGUAGGUGAGGUAACGGCUCACCUAGGCGACGAUACAUAGCCGACCUGAGAGGGUGAUCGGCCACACAGGGACUGAGACACGGCCCAGACUCCUACGGGAGGCAGCAGUAGGGAAUCUUCGGCAAUGGACGAAAGUCUGACCGAGCAACGCCGCGUGAGUGAAGAAGGUUUUCGGAUCGUAAAGCUCUGUUGUAAGAGAAGAACGGGUGUGAGAGUGGAAAGUUCACACUGUGACGGUAUCUUACCAGAAAGGGACGGCUAACUACGUG